Molecule: ribosomal RNA, 254 nt
Filed under: uncultured bacterium
Lineage: Bacteria
Description: partial 16S ribosomal RNA
Rfam family: Bacterial small subunit ribosomal RNA
Source: RNAcentral
GACAUAGGUGGCGACCGUUAUCCGGAAUUAUUGGGCGUAAAGGGUGCGUAGGUGGUUUAAUAAGUUACUGGUGGUAAAUCGGGGCUCAACCUCGUGGAAGUCAGUAAUACUAUUAGACUAGAGGACCGGAGGAGUUAACGGAAUGGCUCAUGUAGGGGUAAAAUCCGCAAAUAUGAGUUAGAACACCAACUGGCGAAGGCAGUUAACUAUGCGGUUCCUGACAUUGAGGCAUGAAAGCGUGGGGAGCAAACCGG